UUUAUCCAAUUCUCAGGAUUCUUGCUCAGGGUUUACAUGUUUUGGUUUAAAUAUGAAAUAUGUACAACCGUGAGUGGAGACCUGGAGGUUGGUCAGU
Molecule: microRNA precursor, 97 nt
Filed under: Tribolium castaneum (red flour beetle)
Lineage: Eukaryota; Metazoa; Arthropoda; Insecta; Coleoptera; Tenebrionidae
Description: microRNA tca-mir-3811a precursor (tca-mir-3811a-2, tca-mir-3811a-4)
Source: miRBase by way of RNAcentral